UUCCAGAAGUUAAAAAUAAAUUCUUCCGGGAGCGUGCGUAAGUUAGUUAGGAAAUGAUUCAUUUCCUGAGUCUUGCAAGGGGUCCUCAGCUAUGUUGGGACUAGCACGUGUUCUAGGCAGAUUAAGUAGCAGGAGCAAAAGCACAGAGAAGCAACACAACCUGGCAGUUCGGAAAUGGCGGAUAGUCUAGGAUGGCUAAAGCUUAGGGCGUUGGUAAGAGUGAGGCUGCAGAGACGCAGAAGAGCUUCAUCUUGGGCACCUGGUAUGCCAUGCUUGGACCCCCGACCCCCUAGUUGGCAUUGGGAGACGUUGUCAGAGUGAAUGGUUGUAUGCAGAUCAACGGGGGAGACAAAAUAGUCAAGAUGAAAAUUCCACUGUUGCGGCUUCAGCCCUAGACUUUGCAUCUCCAUGAAAGAGAAGCUGUAAGAAGAAGGGCCAGAGGGACCCCAGAGGAAGCCCGCUGGUGUCCUGUACAAUGCCUUUUUGGACUGAUACUAAGAAUUUCAUCAGUGUCAGGCCAUUUUGGAAGAAGCACUGUUUGACUAAAAAGAAAGAUGGAAAUACACGGAAAUUAAGUAACUUGCUCCAAGUCACCCAGAUAGAGAAUUGCAGAGCUGGGAUGUGAAACCUAGGAAGCUGACCAGAACCUGCCUUCCUAAAGUAAAGUGCCAUCCGACCUCUGUUAUCUAUGCAGAAUCUGAGUGCAGAGCUGCUGUUACAUAUCUAGAUGCAUUGCCCAUAAUAUAUAUCUACAUAUCCGUAAGUAUAAUAUGUAUAUAAACUAAAAUAGCCAUUUUCUGGCUGUUUUUCAUAAGCAUUAUUUUAUGGUUCUUCGAAUGUUUUUAUGUCUACAUUUGGU
This is a long non-coding RNA of Ailuropoda melanoleuca (giant panda), 859 nucleotides long. RefSeq lists it as uncharacterized. The record is from RefSeq and is a predicted model, not a curated record. Lineage: Eukaryota; Metazoa; Chordata; Mammalia; Carnivora; Ursidae. The transcript has 4 exons.